RNAcentral lists this ribosomal RNA (251 nucleotides) under uncultured bacterium. RNAcentral describes it as "partial 16S ribosomal RNA". It matches the Rfam family "Bacterial small subunit ribosomal RNA", at positions 332 to 602 of the family's 1533-position model. The record is from RNAcentral.
CAGCCUACGGGGGGCAGCAGUGGGGAAUAUUGCGCAAUGGGGGAAACCCUGACGCAGCAACGCCGCGUGAGUGAAGAAGUAUCUCGGUAUGUAAAGCUCUAUCAGCGGGGAAGAAGGAAGACGGUACCCGACUAAGAAGCACCGGCUAACUACGUGCCAGCAGCCGCGGUAAUACGUAGGGGGCAAGCGUUAUCCGGAUUUACUGGGUGUAAAGGGAGCGUAGGCGGCAAGGUAAGCCAGAAGUGAAAGAC